This is a long non-coding RNA of Lagenorhynchus albirostris (white-beaked dolphin), 271 nucleotides long. RefSeq lists it as uncharacterized. The record is from RefSeq and is a predicted model, not a curated record. The transcript has 3 exons. NCBI's taxonomy places the organism in Eukaryota, Metazoa, Chordata, Mammalia, Artiodactyla, Delphinidae.
AUGACAGCAGGACACUGGAGUUUUGGAGGAGAGGCAGGGAAGGCUCCAGAGACAGGGACAGAGACCCCUGCCAUUGAGUAGCAGAGAAGGAGUGAAAAUGAUUGGCAUCACUCAACUGAACCUCAAGACCCUUAAUCUAAUCGUGGCUGGGAUACAAGCAAGCUGUAGAAGACUGCAGGCAGUACACUUCCUUCUCUUCAAAAUCCAAAAAGAUGAUAAGCUCCUUGAGAACAGACACCUUAUCAGGGCUUAGAACAGUACCUGGCUCACG